UGCCACAAAGAGUGUGUUUGGUCAGU
Molecule: non-coding RNA, 26 nt
Filed under: Homo sapiens (human)
Lineage: Eukaryota; Metazoa; Chordata; Mammalia; Primates; Hominidae
Source: RNAcentral